RNAcentral lists this ribosomal RNA (441 nucleotides) under uncultured bacterium. RNAcentral describes it as "partial 16S ribosomal RNA". It matches the Rfam family "Bacterial small subunit ribosomal RNA", at positions 338 to 795 of the family's 1533-position model. The record is from RNAcentral.
CCUACGGGUGGCAGCAGUGGGGAAUAUUGCACAAUGGGCGAAAGCCUGAUGCAGCAACGCCGCGUGAAGGAAGAAGGCCUUCGGGUCGUAAACUUCUGUCCUUGGGGAAGAAGAACUGACGGUACCCAAGGAGGAAGCCCCGGCUAACUACGUGCCAGCAGCCGCGGUAAUACGUAGGGGGCAAGCGUUAUCCGGAAUUAUUGGGUUUAAAGGGUGCGCAGGCGGGAGAUCAAGUCAGCGGUAAAAUGUCGGGGCUCAACCCCGGCCGGCCGUUGAAACUGGUUUUCUAGAGUUGGAGAGAAGUAUGCGGAAUUCGUGGUGUAGCGGUGAAAUGCAUAGAUAUCACGAAGAACUCCGAUUGCGAAGGCAGCAUACCGGCUCCAUACUGACGCUGAGGCACGAAAGCGUGGGGAUCGAACAGGAUUAGAUACCCCAGUAGUC